RNAcentral lists this ribosomal RNA (782 nucleotides) under uncultured Neocallimastigales. RNAcentral describes it as "partial large subunit ribosomal RNA". It matches the Rfam family "Eukaryotic large subunit ribosomal RNA", at positions 23 to 645 of the family's 3401-position model. Lineage: Eukaryota; Fungi; Neocallimastigomycota; Neocallimastigomycetes; Neocallimastigales. The record is from RNAcentral.
AGAGAUGUGUGAUGACGCAUAUCAAUAAGCGGAGGAAAAGAAACUAACAAGGAUUCCCUUAGUAACGGCGAGUGAAGCGGGAAGAGCUCAAAUUUGAAAUCUUCAAGGGUUCUACCUUGACGAAUUAUAGUUUAAGAAGUGUUUUCUGUUAGUAGAGGUGGCUAAAAGUUCUUUGGAAUAGGACAUCAUAGAGGGUGAGAAUCCCGUAUUUGAUCACUUCUUUCUAACGCUUUGUGAUACACUUUCAACGAGUCGGAUUGUUUGGGAAUGCAGUCCAAAAUGGGUGGUAGAUUUCAUCUAAAGCUAAAUAUUGGCGAGAAGACCGAUAGCGAACAAGUACCGUGAGGGAAAGAUGAAAAGAACUUUGAAAAGAGAGUUAAACAGUACGUGAAAUUGUCAAAAGGGAAGCGUUUGACACCAGUGUUGUUUUUCCGAAAAUCAAUUACGAAUGUUUUGUUUUUUGAGGAGUUAUGACUUCAUCGGCUUGCUCCUUUCUUUACGAAACUUUCUUAAUGCACUUUUCGGUUAACAAGUCAACAUCAAUUUCUUUUGUUGUAAAAGGGUAUGAGGAAGGUGGCUUUCUUUUCGGAGAAAGUGUUUAUAGCCUUAGUGCCUCUGCAAUCGGAGAGAUUGAGGUCUGCAGCGUAGAUCCUUCGGGGUUAGAUACAUUUGUGCUAAGUUAUAGCUUUUCAUAGACAACUUGUUGACUAUGUUUAGUCUUGUAGCUUACUCGCUUAUGCUAUUUUACCUACGCUUAGGAUGUUGAAGUCAUCGUAUCGCGC